Molecule: ribosomal RNA, 692 nt
Filed under: uncultured bacterium
Lineage: Bacteria
Description: bacterial SSU rRNA
Rfam family: Bacterial small subunit ribosomal RNA
Source: RNAcentral
AACGCUAGCUACAGGCUUAACACAUGCAAGUCGAGGGGCAGCACGGGAGUAGCAAUACAACUGGUGGCGACCGGCGCACGGGUGAGUAACGCGUAUGCAACCUACCUAUCAGAGGGGAAUAACCCGGCGAAAGUCGGACUAAUACCGCAUAAAACAGGGACACCGCAUGGUGAUAUUUGUUAAAGAAAUUCGCUGAUAGAUGGGCAUGCGUUCCAUUAGGUAGUUGGUGAGGUAAUGGCUCACCAAGCCGACGAUGGAUAGGGGUACUGAGAGGUUGGUCCCCCACACUGGUACUGAGACACGGACCAGACUCCUACGGGAGGCAGCAGUGAGGAAUAUUGGUCAAUGGGCGAGAGCCUGAACCAGCCAAGUCGCGUGAAGGAUGAAGGUUCUAUGGAUUGUAAACUUCUUUUAUACGGGAAUAAACGAAUCCACGCGUGGAUUUUUGCAUGUACCGUAUGAAUAAGGAUCGGCUAACUCCGUGCCAGCAGCCGCGGUAAUACGGAGGAUCCGAGCGUUAUCCGGAUUUAUUGGGUUUAAAGGGAGCGUAGAUGGGUUGUUAAGUCAGUUGUGAAAGUUUGCGGCUCAACCGUAAAAUUGCAAUUGAUACUGGCAGUCUUGAGUACAGUUGAGGUAGGCGGAAUUCGUGGUGUAGCGGUGAAAUGCUUAGAUAUCACGAAGAACUCCGAUUG